Molecule: ribosomal RNA, 2901 nt
Filed under: Shigella flexneri 2930-71
Lineage: Bacteria; Pseudomonadati; Pseudomonadota; Gammaproteobacteria; Enterobacterales; Enterobacteriaceae
Description: bacterial LSU rRNA
Rfam family: Bacterial large subunit ribosomal RNA
Source: RNAcentral
UUAAGCGACUAAGCGUACACGGUGGAUGCCCUGGCAGUCAGAGGCGAUGAAGGACGUGCUAAUCUGCGAUAAGCGUCGGUAAGGUGAUAUGAACCGUUAUAACCGGCGAUUUCCGAAUGGGGAAACCCAGUGUGAUUCGUCACACUAUCAUUAACUGAAUCCAUAGGUUAAUGAGGCGAACCGGGGGAACUGAAACAUCUAAGUACCCCGAGGAAAAGAAAUCAACCGAGAUUCCCCCAGUAGCGGCGAGCGAACGGGGAGCAGCCCAGAGCCUGAAUCAGUGUGUGUGUUAGUGGAAGCGUCUGGAAAGGCGUGCGAUACAGGGUGACAGCCCCGUACACAAAAAUGCACAUACUGUGAGCUCGAUGAGUAGGGCGGGACACGUGGUAUCCUGUCUGAAUAUGGGGGGACCAUCCUCCAAGGCUAAAUACUCCUGACUGACCGAUAGCGAACCAGUACCGUGAGGGAAAGGCGAAAAGAACCCCGGCGAGGGGAGUGAAAAAGAACCUGAAACCGUGUACGUACAAGCAGUGGGAGCACGCUUAGGCGUGUGACUGCGUACCUUUUGUAUAAUGGGUCAGCGACUUAUAUUCUGUAGCAAGGUUAACCGAAUAGGGGAGCCGAAGGGAAACCGAGUCUUAACUGGGCGUUAAGUUGCAGGGUAUAGACCCGAAACCCGGUGAUCUAGCCAUGGGCAGGUUGAAGGUUGGGUAACACUAACUGGAGGACCGAACCGACUAAUGUUGAAAAAUUAGCGGAUGACUUGUGGCUGGGGGUGAAAGGCCUAUCAAACCGGGAGAUAGCUGGUUCUCCCCGAAAGCUAUUUAGGUAGCGCCUCGUGAAUUCAUCUCCGGGGGUAGAGCACUGUUUCGGCAAGGGGGUCAUCCCGACUUACCAACCCGAUGCAAACUGCGAAUACCGGAGAAUGUUAUCACGGGAGACACACGGCGGGUGCUAACGUCCGUCGUGAAGAGGGAAACAACCCAGACCGCCAGCUAAGGUCCCAAAGUCAUGGUUAAGUGGGAAACGAUGUGGGAAGGCCCAGACAGCCGGGAUGUUGGCUUAGAAGCAGCCAUCAUUUAAAGAAAGCGUAAUAGCUCACUGGUCGAGUCGGCCUGCGCGGAAGAUGUAACGGGGCUAAACCAUGCACCGAAGCUGCGGCAGCGACGCUUAUGCGUUGUUGGGUAGGGAGCGUUCUGUAAGCCUGUGAAGGUGUGCUGUGAGGUAUGCUGGAGGUAUCAGAAGUGCGAAUGCUGACAUAAGUAACGAUAAAGCGGGUGAAAAGCCCGCUCGCCGGAAGACCAAGGGUUCCUGUCCAACGUUAAUCGGGGCAGGGUGAGUCGACCCCUAAGGCGAGGCCGAAAGGCGUAGUCGAUGGGAAACAGGUUAAUAUUCCUGUACUUGGUGUUACUGCGAAGGGGGGACGGAGAAGGCUAUGUUGGCCGGGCGACGGUUGUCCCGGUUUAAGCGUGUAGGCUGGUUUUCCAGGCAAAUCCGGAAAAUCAAGGCCGAGGCGUGAUGACGAGGCACUACGGUGCUGAAGCAACAAAUGCCCUGCUUCCAGGAAAAGCCUCUAAGCAUCAGGUAACAUCUAAUCGUACCCCAAACCGACACAGGUGGUCAGGUAGAGAAUACCAAGGCGCUUGAGAGAACUCGGGUGAAGGAACUAGGCAAAAUGGUGCCGUAACUUCGGGAGAAGGCACGCUGAUACGUAGGUGAAGCGACUUGCUCGUGGAGCUGAAAUCAGUCGAAGAUACCAGCUGGCUGCAACUGUUUAUUAAAAACACAGCACUGUGCAAACACGAAAGUGGACGUAUACGGUGUGACGCCUGCCCGGUGCCGGAAGGUUAAUUGAUGGGGUUAGCGCAAGCGAAGCUCUUGAUCGAAGCCCCGGUAAACGGCGGCCGUAACUAUAACGGUCCUAAGGUAGCGAAAUUCCUUGUCGGGUAAGUUCCGACCUGCACGAAUGGCGUAAUGAUGGCCAGGCUGUCUCCACCCGAGACUCAGUGAAAUUGAACUCGCUGUGAAGAUGCAGUGUACCCGCGGCAAGACGGAAAGACCCCGUGAACCUUUACUAUAGCUUGACACUGAACAUUGAGCCUUGAUGUGUAGGAUAGGUGGGAGGCUUUGAAGUGUGGACGCCAGUCUGCAUGGAGCCGACCUUGAAAUACCACCCUUUAAUGUUUGAUGUUCUAACGUGGACCCGUGAUCCGGGUUGCGGACAGUGUCUGGUGGGUAGUUUGACUGGGGCGGUCUCCUCCUAAAGAGUAACGGAGGAGCACGAAGGUUGGCUAAUCUUGGUCGGACAUCAGGAGGUUAGUGCAAUGGCAUAAGCCAGCUUGACUGCGAGCGUGACGGCGCGAGCAGGUGCGAAAGCAGGUCAUAGUGAUCCGGUGGUUCUGAAUGGAAGGGUCAUCGCUCAACGGAUAAAAGGUACUCCGGGGAUAACAGGCUGAUACCGCCCAAGAGUUCAUAUCGACGGCGGUGUUUGGCACCUCGAUGUCGGCUCAUCACAUCCUGGGGCUGAAGUAGGUCCCAAGGGUAUGGCUGUUCGCCAUUUAAAGUGGUACGCGAGCUGGGUUUAGAACGUCGUGAGACAGUUCGGUCCCUAUCUGCCGUGGGCGCUGGAGAACUGAGGGGGGCUGCUCCUAGUACGAGAGGACCGGAGUGGACGCAUCACUGGUGUUCGGGUUGUCAUGCCAAUGGCACUGCCCGGUAGCUAAAUGCGGAAGAGAUAAGUGCUGAAAGCAUCUAAGCACGAAACUUGCCCCGAGAUGAGUUCUCCCUGACCCUUUAAGGGUCCUGAAGGAACGUUGAAGACGACGACGUUGAUAGGCCGGGUGUGUAAGCGCAGCGAUGCGUUGAGCUAACCGGUACUAAUGAACCGUGAGGCUUAACCUU